This 450-nucleotide ribosomal RNA is filed under the name uncultured bacterium. RNAcentral's name for it is "bacterial SSU rRNA". It matches the Rfam family "Bacterial small subunit ribosomal RNA", at positions 29 to 524 of the family's 1533-position model. The record is from RNAcentral.
AACGAACGCUGGCGGCAUGCCUAACACAUGCAAGUCGAACGAGACCUUCGGGUCUAGUGGCGCACGGGUGCGUAACGCGUGGGAAUCUGCCCUUGGGUUCGGGAUAACAGUUGGAAACGACUGCUAAUACCGGAUGAUGACUUCGGUCCAAAGAUUUAUCGCCCAGGGAUGAGCCCGCGUCGGAUUAGCUAGUUGGUGAGGUAAAGGCUCACCAAGGCGACGAUCCGUAGCUGGUCUGAGAGGAUGAUCAGCCACACUGGGACUGAGACACGGCCCAGACUCCUACGGGAGGCAGCAGUGGGGAAUAUUGGACAAUGGGCGAAAGCCUGAUCCAGCAAUGCCGCGUGAGUGAUGAAGGCCUUAGGGUUGUAAAGCUCUUUUACCCGGGAUGAUAAUGACAGUACCGGGAGAAUAAGCCCCGGCUAACUCCGUGCCAGCAGCCGCGGUAAU